GUCCACGCCCUAAACGAUGCUCACUAGGUGUUGGGGAAGCGAUUCCUUGGUACCGUAGCUAACGCGUGAAGUGAGCCGCCUGGGGAGUACGGCCGCAAGGUUAAAACUCAAAGGAAUUGACGGGGACCCGCACAAGCGGUGGAUGAUGUGGAUUAAUUCGAUGCAACGCGAACAACCUUACCUACCCUUGACAUGUCGCGAAGCCUGGUGAGAGCCGGGGGUGCCCGCAAGGGAACGCGAACACAGGUGCUGCAUGGCUGUCGU
This 264-nucleotide ribosomal RNA is filed under the name uncultured bacterium. Its description in RNAcentral is "partial 16S ribosomal RNA". It matches the Rfam family "Bacterial small subunit ribosomal RNA", at positions 793 to 1055 of the family's 1533-position model. The record is from RNAcentral.